CUUCGGCAGGUCCCUUUCAGCGUUGAAGAUCCAGAUUACCAGGGGCUUGAGCUGGAAACGAUGUCGCCAUGUGAGAAGCACGGCAAGGCAUCUGAGAGGCUUGUCGCAUUUGAAGGAACAGACACAGGGAGAAGGUUCCUAGCAUGUGCAGAGCCGGAAGGGCAGAAUUGUGGGUUUGUUGAAUGGGUUGAUCACCAGUGGCCCCCAACAAUGCAAAAUGCAUUGUUGAAGCUGUGGGCCAUGGUUGAAGAUAGCAAGAGUGCUAGGGUGAAUGAUAAUCUUGAAAGUUCUUUCACUAUCCACCAUCUGACAGAAGAGAAGAACAAGCUGGAGGCCAACUAUGACAAGUUAGUCCAAGAUGUGCAUGAACUUAUGAGCUUCCAGGAGGACAGGGUGGUGGAUUUCAGAUAUCUGCAGGAUAGCCUUACAUAUCAGCAGCAAUGCAGAAGUAACUGCUGGCUGAUAUGA
This 468-nucleotide ribosomal RNA is filed under the name Triticum aestivum (bread wheat). Its description in RNAcentral is "partial small subunit ribosomal RNA". The record is from RNAcentral. Lineage: Eukaryota; Viridiplantae; Streptophyta; Magnoliopsida; Poales; Poaceae.